This is a long non-coding RNA of Cimex lectularius (bed bug), 823 nucleotides long. RefSeq lists it as uncharacterized. The record is from RefSeq and is a predicted model, not a curated record. The transcript has 4 exons. Lineage: Eukaryota; Metazoa; Arthropoda; Insecta; Hemiptera; Cimicidae.
AGGAACUAAGGUAAACGACACGAAUCUAACAAAUAUCUGGACUAAUAACCUUCUACUAAAAGAAACCAAUAUGACAAUUUUUCUUCACCAUGUGUUUCACAGAAAUCUCGUUUCUAAAUAACUCAAAUUUAAAACAUCAUACAACAUAGGGUGCAAAUUUUCGAGACAACACGUAGAAUUUCACCCGUCGCCACGCCGCACAUAUGCUACAUCAAUUGUUAUGAACAGUCGUACGGUAAAGGAGCAGGAUCACACCUAGAGAGACGAGUCGUCCCUCCCUCCGGAAUGCUCCUGUCUCUGGUCAACUCCCGAUUUAAUUUUUGACAAACUAAUACCAGAAAAGUCAAGUUCGAGGAAGAAUCGCGGAGAUAAAGGAAAAAGAAGAGAAAUGCUAGCCCUUUGGUACAUCUGGCUCGGCUACACAGAAUACAAAGCAUACGUAGAAUCGAUGUCCAGAGGGAAUGGCGGCGGCGGGAUGUAUGUGGAAUCGAGCGAAGUCAUCCCCCCCGCUGACAGCUCUCAGGAAGUUUCUCAGCAGUCGAUUAAAUCCGGAGAUAAAUCGACUUCGGAGGCCAAAUACGACAACAACCCACCGCCUUCGGAGGGCGAAAAGAAAGACAACUCUUCGAUUCGCGAUGAUGACCAAGAUGACCGCACGACAUGAAAAACGGUUUGAAUUGCACGCCAGUACGAAAAUCGAAGGAUUGUAAAUUUAUGGUACCCAAGAAAUAAAAUGUCUUCGAAAUUGAGCAGCCGUCCUCUGAAAAAGCACACCAUGUUUUCCAUUCCGUUCCGAAGAGCUAAAUAAAAAUCAUUACCCUUG